UGAAGAGGAGUUUAUCAACUGUGC
This 24-nucleotide non-coding RNA is filed under the name Arabidopsis thaliana (thale cress). Lineage: Eukaryota; Viridiplantae; Streptophyta; Magnoliopsida; Brassicales; Brassicaceae. The record is from RNAcentral.